This 75-nucleotide transfer RNA is filed under the name uncultured Enterocloster sp. It matches the Rfam family "tRNA", at positions 5 to 66 of the family's 71-position model. Rfam says of the family: Transfer RNA (tRNA) molecules are approximately 80 nucleotides in length. Their secondary structure includes four short double-helical elements and three loops (D, anti-codon, and T loops). Lineage: Bacteria; Bacillati; Bacillota; Clostridia; Lachnospirales; Lachnospiraceae. The record is from RNAcentral.
AAGUGGCCGAGCGGCGAAAGCGCCUGACUGUAAAUCAGGUACACGGAAACAUCGGGGGUUCGAGUCCCUCCUUGC